GACGAACGCUGGCGGCGUGCUUAACACAUGCAAGUCGAACGGAAAGACCCUGCUUUUGUGGGGUGCUCGAGUGGCGAACGGGUGAGUAACACGUGAGUAACCUGCCCUUGACUUUGGGAUAACUUCAGGAAACUGGGGCUAAUACCGGAUAGGAGCUCCUGCUGCAUGGUGGGGGUUGGAAAGUUUCGGCGGUUGGGGAUGGACUCGCGGCUUAUCAGCUUGUUGGUGGGGUAGUGGCUUACCAAGGCUUUGACGGGUAGCCGGCCUGAGAGGGUGACCGGCCACAUUGGGACUGAGAUACGGCCCAGACUCCUACGGGAGGCAGCAGUGGAGAAUAUUGCACAAUGGGCGGAAGCCUGAUGCAGCAACGCCGCGUGCGGGAUGACGGCCUUCGGGUUGUAAACCGCUUUCGCCUGUGACGAAGCGUGAGUGACGGUAAUGGGUAAAGAAGCACCGGCUAACUACGUG
RNAcentral lists this ribosomal RNA (468 nucleotides) under uncultured bacterium. Its description in RNAcentral is "partial 16S ribosomal RNA". It matches the Rfam family "Bacterial small subunit ribosomal RNA", at positions 28 to 507 of the family's 1533-position model. The record is from RNAcentral.